AGUAACGCGUAGUCCAUUUAACCUAUGGACGGGAAUAACCUUGGGAAACUGAUAAUCCUGCCCGAUAGAACAUUAUGCCUGGAAUGGUUUAUGUUCCAAAUGAUUUAUCGCCGUAGGAUGGGACUGCGGCCUAUCAGUUUGUUGGUGAGGUAAUGGCCCACCAAGACUAUUACAGGUACGGGCUCUGAGAGGAGUAGCCCGGAGAUGGGUACUGAGACACGGACCCAGGCCCUAUGGGGCGCAGCAGGCGAGAAAACUUUGCUAUGUGCGAAAGCACGACAAGGUUAAUCCGAGUGGUUUCUGCUAAAGAAACCUUUUGUCAGUCCUACAAACACUGAUGAAUAAGGGGUGGGCAAGUUCUGGUGUCAGCCGCCGCGGUAAAACCAGCACCUCGAGUGGGUCAGGAUGAUUAUUGGGCCUAAAGCAUCCGUAGCCGGCUCUGUAAGUUUUUCAGUUAAAUCUUGUACGCUCAACGUACAG
RNAcentral lists this ribosomal RNA (480 nucleotides) under uncultured crenarchaeote. Its description in RNAcentral is "bacterial SSU rRNA". It matches the Rfam family "Archaeal small subunit ribosomal RNA", at positions 92 to 569 of the family's 1478-position model. The record is from RNAcentral. Lineage: Archaea; Thermoproteati; Thermoproteota.